This 497-nucleotide ribosomal RNA is filed under the name uncultured bacterium. Its description in RNAcentral is "partial 16S ribosomal RNA". It matches the Rfam family "Bacterial small subunit ribosomal RNA", at positions 28 to 507 of the family's 1533-position model. The record is from RNAcentral.
GAUGAACGCUGGCGGCGUGCCUAAUACAUGCAAGUCGAGCGAACGGACGAGAAGCUUGCUUCUCUGAUGUUAGCGGCGGACGGGUGAGUAACACGUGGAUAACCUACCUAUAAGACUGGGAUAACUUCGGGAAACCGGAGCUAAUACCGGAUAAUAUUUUGAACCGCAUGGUUCAAAAGUGAAAGACGGUCUUGCUGUCACUUAUAGAUGGAUCCGCGCUGCAUUAGCUAGUUGGUAAGGUAACGGCUUACCAAGGCAACGAUGCAUAGCCGACCUGAUAGGGUGGUCGGCCACACGGGAGCGGAGACACGGUCCAGACUCCUACGGGAGGCAGCAGUAGGGAAUCUUCCGCAAUGGGCGAAAGCCUGACGGAGCAACGCCGCGUGAGUGAUGAAGGUCUUCGGAUCGUAAAACUCUGUUAUUAGGGAAGAACAUAUGUGUAAGUAACUGUGCACAUCUUGACGGUACCUAAUCAGAAAGCCACGGCUAACUACGUG